GGGCGGUUAGCUCAGUUGGUAGAGCGUCUCGUUGACGUCGAGAAGGUUCACAGGUUCGAGCCCUGUACCGCCCA
This 74-nucleotide transfer RNA is filed under the name bacterium. RNAcentral's name for it is "tRNA-Val". It matches the Rfam family "tRNA". Rfam says of the family: Transfer RNA (tRNA) molecules are approximately 80 nucleotides in length. Their secondary structure includes four short double-helical elements and three loops (D, anti-codon, and T loops). The record is from RNAcentral. RNAcentral also lists the same sequence under 2 other names.